CCUACGGGAGGCAGCAGUGGGGAAUAUUGGACAAUGGGCGAAAGCCUGAUCCAGCAAUUCCGCGUGUGUGAAGAAGGCCUUCGGGUUGUAAAGCACUUUAGUUGGGAAGAAACAGCUUGGCCACACCAAGCCUUGACGGUACCCAAAGAAUAAGCACCGGCUAACUCUGUGCCAGCAGCCGCGGUAAUACAGAGGGUGCAAGCGUUAAUCGGAUUUACUGGGCGUAAAGGGUGCGUAGGUGGUUUUGUAAGUCGGAUGUGAAAGCCUGGGGCUCAACCUCAGAAUUGCACUCGAUACUGCAAGACUAGAGUUCGGUAGAGGGCGGCGGAAUUCCCGGGUGUAGCGGUGAAAUGCGUAGAUAUCGGGAGGAACAUCAAUGGCGAAGGCAGCCGCCUGGGCCUGAACCUGACACUGAGGCACGAAAGCGUGGGUAGCAAACAGGAUUAGAUACCCUGGUAGUCCACGCUGUAAACGAUGAGAACUUGACGUUGGUUCGUUUUACGAAUCGGUGUUCGCNGCUACGCGAUAGUUACUCCGUCCGUCGGGAGGUACGGCCGCGAGGUAGUAACGUUAAAGGUAAGUAGACGGCGUAGAGAGUGCGACGGACGACGACGAGGGAGGAGG
RNAcentral lists this ribosomal RNA (624 nucleotides) under uncultured bacterium. RNAcentral's name for it is "bacterial SSU rRNA". The stretch from base 1 to 539 matches the Rfam family "Bacterial small subunit ribosomal RNA", at positions 338 to 873 of the family's 1533-position model. The record is from RNAcentral.